CCACGAAAUUCCAUUUAAUAAAAUUAGUUUCAGGACUCCAUUUAGGGUCCCAGGAUGUUGAUUUCUUUCCUUGGCUCUGGAAUCCUACACCUUCUUGCCUUGUAUCCACAUCAAGUUCUUUUAUUGUUUUAUUACAUUAGCAAAAGGGGAUAUCUAAGUCACCUUAAGGGUAGGAUGGAGUCUUGAUCUCAAUCAGCAUAUGUUAAGUUCACCUUAAGGGUAGGAUGGAGUCUCGAUCUCAGUCAGCAUCUCUAAGUGACCUUAAGGGUAGGAUGGAGUCUCGAUCUCAAUCAGCAUAUGUUAAGUUCAGGAGAAGUUUUUAUGAACUGUAAAAGAUGUAGUAUAUUUGAAGUUGAGAAAACUUCCUACCUUUGUUAAUACUGGACAAUGAUGGAUAAGUUCUGGGCACCUCCUUAAAAAGGUUACCUACAAGCUAUGAAGGACCACAAGAAGGUUUAAUGAUUUUACUGAACAAUAUUUAAUGAGUUUUCCUUGGUAGAGGACAGGAAAAUUUUGUUCGACAUCUGGAGAACAAGCUGUUCAUUGAAAUGCUUCUAUUGUUGGUUAUCUUUAUGAUCGAAGAGGCAAACAUCUGUUUUCUCUCUUAAAUGACAACCCAUUACUAUUGAAGUUUGGCGGACCUUGACAAUUGCAGAUGCGAAGGAUGUCAAAAUAAGGGAAAUUGUUGCUUGUGAAUGCAGAGCAAGCUUAAAAAACUAACCUUUGCGAUAACAUGGCUGGUUUUUGCCUUUGGAUGACACAGAAGACUUGUCAUGGCAUUCUAUAUAUCAAAGAUAAAUUUGAAAAAUGAUCUACUGCACCAACCUUAUACCCAAGGUCUUAUCAAUUUGUUUUAAAAAAUAACUUUUCUCUAAAAUAAUCUGUAUUUAGAUUCUCCAUGCUAUAUAUGACUUUUAUUAACCACCAGUUCCCAUGAUUUAGAAAUACUUAUUUGGAAUUUUCAGUUGAUUUACAUUUUCUCUCUCUGUUGAUGCAUUAGCGAAAUUCGCUUUGAUCUUAUUUUCAUUCUCUCUCUUACUUUGCAAAUACUUCCAGUUUGGAGGCAUAUAAGCUGUAUAAUGAAUAUGCAACAAGCAAAACGCAUGGCAAAAGUUGUGAUAAUAAGUUAAUUUAGGGGGGCUAUUUUCAUUAAUGUGAUGUUCAUUAAAAAGGUGGUAUAUGUGGUUUUCAUGGUUUUAAGCACUGAAAAAUUUGGAAAGAGCCUAGGCUCCUUUCUGAUAGUGCAGCCCUGAGAUCAACAGGAACAAAUCUGAAUCAAAGGCUGUUGCUUAACUCCACUCCAUCCUCAUAUGAUUUUACCCAGUAUAUUCUAAUAUAUAAGAUAGCAGUAUAGCUCAAUCACGAAGC
This 1368-nucleotide long non-coding RNA is filed under the name Elaeis guineensis (African oil palm). Its description in RNAcentral is "long non-coding RNA (EGUI_LNC032660)". The record is from RNAcentral. Lineage: Eukaryota; Viridiplantae; Streptophyta; Magnoliopsida; Arecales; Arecaceae.